RNAcentral lists this small RNA (75 nucleotides) under Xanthomonas oryzae pv. oryzicola. Its description in RNAcentral is "sX9 sRNA". It matches the Rfam family "Xanthomonas sRNA sX9". Lineage: Bacteria; Pseudomonadati; Pseudomonadota; Gammaproteobacteria; Lysobacterales; Lysobacteraceae. The record is from RNAcentral.
AUGUACCCCGCGUCCACUGCGGUUGUGAGCGCGCCGUCCGCGCCCGCUGACAGCUCUCGCUACGUUGUGUUAGCC